AUACGGAGGGUGCAAGCGUUACUCGGAAUCACUGGGCGUAAAGCGCGCGCAGGCGGCUAUUUAAGUUGGAUGUGAAAGCCUACGGCUCAACCGUAGAACUGCAUCCAAAACUAUUUAGCUAGAGUGUGGGAGAGGAAGAUGGAAUUAGUUGUGUAGGGGUAAAAUCCGUAGAGAUAACUAGGAAUACCAAAAGCGAAGGCAAUCUUCUGGAACACCGCUGACGCUGAGGCGCGAAAGCGUGGGGAGCAAACAGGAUUAGAUACCCUAGUAGUCC
This 274-nucleotide ribosomal RNA is filed under the name uncultured bacterium. RNAcentral's name for it is "partial 16S ribosomal RNA". It matches the Rfam family "Bacterial small subunit ribosomal RNA", at positions 523 to 796 of the family's 1533-position model. The record is from RNAcentral.